This 137-nucleotide long non-coding RNA is filed under the name Coturnix japonica (Japanese quail). RNAcentral describes it as "lncRNA (ENSCJPG00005021413.1)". Lineage: Eukaryota; Metazoa; Chordata; Aves; Galliformes; Phasianidae. The record is from RNAcentral.
UUUCCUCUAAGAAACCACUGAAGAGAUUGAACAGUGACAGGAGAUGCAAAGAGGGGUCUACUGAAGAUUGCCUAGAACUUGAAAUAUGAAUGAAUUAAUGCCAAAAUACGACCCAAGAACCCACUCAUCUUGACCGU